RNAcentral lists this transfer RNA (75 nucleotides) under Caudoviricetes sp. RNAcentral describes it as "tRNA-Arg". It matches the Rfam family "tRNA". From Rfam's summary of the family: Transfer RNA (tRNA) molecules are approximately 80 nucleotides in length. Their secondary structure includes four short double-helical elements and three loops (D, anti-codon, and T loops). The record is from RNAcentral. Lineage: Duplodnaviria; Heunggongvirae; Uroviricota; Caudoviricetes.
GGGUGGUUAGCUCAGCUGGUCAGAGCGUUGGUCAGCGCAACCGAAGGGCGUCGGUUCGAAUCCGGCACGAUCCGA